AACGAACGCUGGCGGCAUGCCUAACACAUGCAAGUCGAACGAGACCUUCGGGUCUAGUGGCGCACGGGUGCGUAACGCGUGGGAACCUGCCCUUAGGUUCGGAAUAACUCCCCGAAAGGGGUGCUAAUACCGGAUAAUGUCUUCGGACCAAAGAUUUAUCGCCUUUGGAUGGGCCCGCGUUGGAUUAGCUAGUUGGUAGGGUAAAAGCCUACCAAGGCGACGAUCCAUAACUGGUCUGAGAGGAUGAUCAGCCACACUGGGACUGAGACACGGCCCAGACUCCUACGGGAGGCAGCAGUGGGGAAUAUUGGACAAUGGGCGGAAGCCUGAUCCAGCAAUGCCGCGUGAGUGAUGAAGGCCUUAGGGUUGUAAAGCUCUUUUACCCGGGAUGAUAAUGACAGUACCGGGAGAAUAAGCUCCGGCUAACUCCGUG
RNAcentral lists this ribosomal RNA (433 nucleotides) under uncultured bacterium. Its description in RNAcentral is "partial 16S ribosomal RNA". It matches the Rfam family "Bacterial small subunit ribosomal RNA", at positions 29 to 507 of the family's 1533-position model. The record is from RNAcentral.